Molecule: non-coding RNA, 505 nt
Organism: Odocoileus virginianus texanus
Lineage: Eukaryota; Metazoa; Chordata; Mammalia; Artiodactyla; Cervidae
Source: RefSeq, a predicted model, not a curated record
UACCCAGAGGCUUCCUUGCAUCUCAAGCGACUGCCUCCCUAAAUCACCCUAUGCACUUCAAGAACUGGGUGGUACUGCUGUACUUCCGCUUUAGCCACCAUCCAAUGAGGAAAACAAAGGAUGACUUAGCGGACGAUGACUUCCAAUCCCGUGGUCUCAGGCACCAAGACGACGGGCGGGGAUGCUUGGGGUUCUUCUGGUGAGAAAUAUUCUCAUGCACUCCUCCUUCGGAAUUGUGCCAGACACCUCUGGUUAUGGAUGCCAAGAAUGUUUGUUCAGAAUACUCACUGCCCAAGGGCUCCCACCUGAUAAAGGACACCUGCUUUCUGCUGAUGAUGCUUCAAACCCGGAACCGCAUGAUGCUUCGUACCCAGGACUACAUCUGCGGGGAGCAAGAGAUACCUUAUCCUAAUGGGCUUAAGACAUCAUAUGUCUCGCUGAGGCCAUGCUCUGUAAAGGCUGCUAGGACGGGAUUGGUGUCUGCCUCCUCUCACACAGACCUGGC